Long non-coding RNA from Cotesia glomerata, 657 nucleotides. RefSeq lists it as uncharacterized. The record is from RefSeq and is a predicted model, not a curated record. The transcript has 2 exons. Lineage: Eukaryota; Metazoa; Arthropoda; Insecta; Hymenoptera; Braconidae.
AAUGGUUGAGUAAAUAAUGAAGAUUACGAUAAGUAUAAUAAGGAUGCGAAAAUAGUCUUCGCUUUCCAUUUAAAAUUUUCACUUUCGUACAACCUUGAUCUGAAAGUCAAAAUAAAGCUAUAAAAUAAUUAAGGUGUUUCAAGUGCAGUAAUUUGUUUGAAACUUACCGAGAUGAAGAAUUUUAUUUCACAUUAAAACACGUAUUGCAAAAUUAUAUACGUACUUUAGCACAAUAAUUAUAGAUGUAAUUAGAAUGAUGGUGGUAUUGUAUUCAAAUAAUAGCAAGUAAAAGUAGUAUUAGGUAUGUAUUAAUGAUGGAUAAAGUUUAAAUUGUUGGAUGUGUAUUUGAAGUGUAGAAGGUGAAGCUUAGCACUGACGACGAUCGCGAACUCGUGUGAGGGCUGCGAGCGACCAGGGUAGAAAAGGAAGCCGGCGUCGUGGCGGUCAGAAAAAGAAGAAGGAGAUACAAGGGAAAAAGAAGAAGAAUAAUAAUAAUAAGAAAUAAGAAGAAGAAGGAAACCAUUGGAGCCCUUGAAAGGAGAAUUGGAAAGUAUGCCGGCAAAAUUUAUGCGAGCGACCUUGACUACAUUUUUCCCCUUGACUUCUUGGAUACUCCGUGCUUUCCGUCUGGUUGAUUUCCAGCCAACCAAAUGUAAG